Molecule: ribosomal RNA, 520 nt
Filed under: uncultured Hypocreales
Lineage: Eukaryota; Fungi; Ascomycota; Sordariomycetes; Hypocreales
Description: SSU rRNA
Rfam family: Eukaryotic small subunit ribosomal RNA
Source: RNAcentral
CUUAAGAUUAAGCCAUGCAUGUCUAAGUAUAAGCAAUUAUACCGCGAAACUGCGAAUGGCUCAUUAUAUAAGUUAUCGUUUAUUUGAUAAUACUUUACUACUUGGAUAACCGUGGUAAUUCUAGAGCUAAUACAUGCUAAAAAUCCCGACUUCGGAAGGGUUGUAUUUAUUAGAUUAAAAACCAAUGCCCCUCGGGGCUCUCUGGUGAAUCAUGAUAACUAGUCGAAUCGACAGGCCUUGUGCCGGCGAUGGCUCAUUCAAAUUUCUGCCCUAUCAACUUUCGAUGGUAGGAUAGUGGCCUACCAUGGUGGCAACGGGUAACGGGGAAUUAGGGUUCGAUUCCGGAGAGGGAGCCUGAGAAACGGCUACCACAUCCAAGGAAGGCAGCAGGCGCGCAAAUUACCCAAUCCCGAUACGGGGAGGUAGUGACAAUAAAUACUGAUACGGGGCUCUUUUGGGUCUCGUAAUUGGAAUGAGAACAAUUUAAAUCCCUUAACGAGGAACAAUUGGAGGGCAAGUC